Molecule: ribosomal RNA, 473 nt
Filed under: uncultured bacterium
Lineage: Bacteria
Description: bacterial SSU rRNA
Rfam family: Bacterial small subunit ribosomal RNA
Source: RNAcentral
CGCUAUCACUCCUACGGGAGCAGCAGUAGGGAAUCUUCCACAAUGGGCGCAAGCCUGAUGGAGCAACACCGCGUGAGUGAAGAAGGGUUUCGGCUCGUAAAGCUCUGUUGUUAAAGAAGAACACGUAUGAGAGUAACUGUUCAUACGUUGACGGUAUUUAACCAGAAAGUCACGGCUAACUACGUGCCAGCAGCCGCGGUAAUACGUAGGUGGCAAGCGUUAUCCGGAUUUAUUGGGCGUAAAGAGAGUGCAGGCGGGUUUUCUAAGUCUGAUGUGAAAGCCUUCGGCUUAACCGGAGAAGUGCAUCGGAAACUGGAUAACUUGAGUGCAGAAGAGGGUAGUGGAACUCCAUGUGUAGCGGUGGAAUGCGUAGAUAUAUGGAAGAACACCAGUGGCGAAGGCGGCUACCUGGUCUGCAACUGACGCUGAGACUCGAAAGCAUGGGUAGCGAACAGGAUUAGAUACCCUGGUAG